GGAGAGGUGGCAGAGUGGUCGAAUGCGCAUGAUUGGAAAUCAUGUGUUGUCGCAAGGCAACCGAGGGUUCGAAUCCCUCCCUCUCCGCCA
This 90-nucleotide transfer RNA is filed under the name Opitutaceae bacterium. RNAcentral's name for it is "tRNA-Ser". It matches the Rfam family "tRNA". Rfam says of the family: Transfer RNA (tRNA) molecules are approximately 80 nucleotides in length. Their secondary structure includes four short double-helical elements and three loops (D, anti-codon, and T loops). The record is from RNAcentral. Lineage: Bacteria; Pseudomonadati; Verrucomicrobiota; Opitutia; Opitutales; Opitutaceae. RNAcentral also lists the same sequence under 1 other name.